RNAcentral lists this ribosomal RNA (327 nucleotides) under uncultured soil bacterium. RNAcentral describes it as "bacterial SSU rRNA". It matches the Rfam family "Bacterial small subunit ribosomal RNA", at positions 26 to 345 of the family's 1533-position model. The record is from RNAcentral.
AGGACGAACGCUGGCGGCGCGCUUAACGCAUGCAAGUCGAACGAGAUCCAUCCAGUAGCAAUACUGGUGAAGAUCGAGUGGCGAACGGGUGAGUAUCACGUGAGGAACCCACCCCGGAGACCGGGAUAACCCUCCGAAAGGAGAGCUAAUACCGGAUGUCCUCAUCGGAUCGCAUGUUCUGAUGAGGAAAUGGAUUCCGCUCCGGGACGCCUCGCGGCCUAUCAGCUAGUUGGUGAGGUAAAGGCUCACCAAGGCUGCGAUGGGUAGCUGGUCUGAGAGGACGAUCAGCCACACGUGGACUGAGACACGGCCCAGACUCCGUACGGG